RNAcentral lists this ribosomal RNA (475 nucleotides) under Bacillus cereus. Its description in RNAcentral is "bacterial SSU rRNA". It matches the Rfam family "Bacterial small subunit ribosomal RNA", at positions 39 to 487 of the family's 1533-position model. The record is from RNAcentral. Lineage: Bacteria; Bacillati; Bacillota; Bacilli; Caryophanales; Bacillaceae.
AAAAAAAAAAAAGACGUGCUUUAACACAUGCAAGUCGAGCGAAUGGAUUAAGAGCUUGCUCUUAUGAAGUUAGCGGCGGACGGGUGAGUAACACGUGGGUAACCUGCCCAUAAGACUGGGAUAACUCCGGGAAACCGGGGCUAAUACCGGAUAACAUUUUGAACCGCAUGGUUCGAAAUUGAAAGGCGGCUUCGGCUGUCACUUAUGGAUGGACCCGCGUCGCAUUAGCUAGUUGGUGAGGUAACGGCUCACCAAGGCAACGAUGCGUAGCCGACCUGAGAGGGUGAUCGGCCACACUGGGACUGAGACACGGCCCAGACUCCUACGGGAGGCAGCAGUAGGGAAUCUUCCGCAAUGGACGAAAGUCUGACGGAGCAACGCCGCGUGAGUGAUGAAGGCUUUCGGGUCGUAAAACUCUGUUGUUAGGGAAGAACAAGUGCUAGUGAAUAAGCUGGCUCUGACCUUCUUUCCCAGU